This 43-nucleotide small RNA is filed under the name Arabidopsis thaliana (thale cress). Its description in RNAcentral is "ATSL133860". The record is from RNAcentral. Lineage: Eukaryota; Viridiplantae; Streptophyta; Magnoliopsida; Brassicales; Brassicaceae.
GAGACGAAGAAGAAUCUCUCUCUCUCUCUCUCUCAAAACCCCA